RNAcentral lists this long non-coding RNA (218 nucleotides) under Musa acuminata (dwarf banana). Its description in RNAcentral is "long non-coding RNA (MACU_LNC006613)". Lineage: Eukaryota; Viridiplantae; Streptophyta; Magnoliopsida; Zingiberales; Musaceae. The record is from RNAcentral.
CCAAACUAGUAAGAGACAAUGUUUUACAUGAGGCAAGCAAACAAUUUGGCAAGUGUUACAUUUGCAUCUUCUCUUUAGAUGUGCAAGAAAGUAAGCAAGUUUUUGCAUUUUCUUGACUUGUGCAAGCUAGCUAAUUUCUCUUUGAGAUGACCCUUUACAUCAAUUCAAGAUAGCACAUUAGCAACUCUUUCUCCCCCUUUGUCAUUGGCAAAAAGAAA